AGUGGGAUUGCUGGCCCUAUGGCAAGUAGUAGUUUAUGAGAAAUUGCCAGACUGUUUUCCAAAGUGGCUAUGGUAUUUUGCAUUCCUACCAACAAU
Molecule: microRNA precursor, 96 nt
Filed under: Marmota monax (woodchuck)
Lineage: Eukaryota; Metazoa; Chordata; Mammalia; Rodentia; Sciuridae
Source: RNAcentral